Molecule: long non-coding RNA, 460 nt
Filed under: Solanum tuberosum (potato)
Lineage: Eukaryota; Viridiplantae; Streptophyta; Magnoliopsida; Solanales; Solanaceae
Description: long non-coding RNA (STUB_LNC009699)
Source: RNAcentral
UCAUUUCCUUGAUAUAUUUUAAAUUUUAUUACUAUUGGUACUCCUCCAAUGAUUAUUUCUUUUUCUGUAGUUUCUUCGGUAUACAUUAAUGCUUUUGGUAGUUCGGGGCAUAAUUGUUCAGUAGUUAUUAUUUCAUCUUCCGUUACUAAUUCUCUUGUAAUAUAGUUUUCUUCUCGUCCUGUAUCUAUUAAUAUUAAAUAUUUUCGUUGUUCCAUUAUUCCCGUUAUGUAAUAAUGAUGUGGUUUUAUUUCAUCUUCCAUUGAUUUUUGUGGAGUUUUAUCUAUUCUUCUUGAGGUACUCAUUUUUGAUGAUAUUUGUGGUAUUUCACAGUUUAUUCUUUUUGAUGUGCUUAAUCUUUCUUUUACUAUUUCUAAAUCUUCUUCUAUAUCAAUCUCAUUAUAACUAUAAUCAUUUUUAUCUAUGACUGUGACUAUUCUUUCAAAAGGAUAUUCUAUUUUUA